This is a small nuclear RNA of Melanaphis sacchari, 151 nucleotides long. RefSeq annotates it as U4 spliceosomal RNA. The transcript has a single exon. NCBI's taxonomy places the organism in Eukaryota, Metazoa, Arthropoda, Insecta, Hemiptera, Aphididae. The record is from RefSeq and is a predicted model, not a curated record.
AGCUUUGCGCAGUGGCGAUAUCGUAACCAAUAAGGUUCAUCCGAGGUGCGAUUAUUGAUAGUUGAAAAAACUAUAAAUUAUAAUAAUUAAUAAUAUUUACCACGUCGUUAAGUCGAAUUAGUUGUUUAUAUUCUGAGCUUAGUCUAUAAUA